This 374-nucleotide ribosomal RNA is filed under the name uncultured bacterium. Its description in RNAcentral is "bacterial SSU rRNA". It matches the Rfam family "Bacterial small subunit ribosomal RNA", at positions 28 to 419 of the family's 1533-position model. The record is from RNAcentral.
GACGAACGCUGGCGGCGUGCCUAAUGCAUGCAAGUCGCACGCGCCACCUUCGGGUGGUGAGUGGCGCACGGCUGAGGAUCACGUGGGAACAUGCCUCCUUGUGGGGGACAACAGCGCGAAAGCGCUGCUAAUCCCGCAUACGCUCGUGCAAAGCGAGGAAAGCCGCAAGGCGCAGGGAGAGUGGCCCGCGGCCCAUCAGGUGGUUGGUGGGGUAANGGCCUACCAAGCCGGUGACGGGUAGCUGGUCUGUGAGGACAGACAGCCAGACUGGGACUGAGACACGGCCCAGACUCCUACGGGAGGCAGCAGCAAGGAAUUUUCGUCAAUGGGCGCAAGCCUGAACGAGCAACGCCGCGUGGUGGAUGACGGCCUGG